GACGAACCGUGCGAACGUUGUUCGGAAUCACUGGGCUUAAAGGGCGCGUAGGCGGGCUGUCAAGUCUGGGGUGAAAUACCGCGGCUCAACCGUGGAACUGCCUUAGAUACUGACGGCCUCGAGGGAGGUAGGGGCGUGCGGAACUGUAGGUGGAGCGGUGAAAUGCGUUGAUAUCUACAGGAACUCCGGUGGCGAAAGCGGCGCGCUGGACCUCUUCUGACGCUGAGGCGCGAAAGCUAGGGGAGCAAACGGG
Molecule: ribosomal RNA, 253 nt
Filed under: uncultured bacterium
Lineage: Bacteria
Description: partial 16S ribosomal RNA
Rfam family: Bacterial small subunit ribosomal RNA
Source: RNAcentral